UGCGAUCAUACCAGCACUAAUGCACCGGAUCCCAUCAGAACUCCGCAGUUAAGUGUGCUUGGGCGAGAGUAGUACUAGGAUGGGUGACCCCCUGGGAAGUCCUCGUGUUGCA
RNAcentral lists this ribosomal RNA (112 nucleotides) under Rhododendron griersonianum. Lineage: Eukaryota; Viridiplantae; Streptophyta; Magnoliopsida; Ericales; Ericaceae. The record is from RNAcentral.